AAAAAAUCAACACAUUACACGAGUUCGAGCUCUCUUUCUUCUGCCAGCCGAGAGAUAUAAUAUAAUUUAAUAUGAUAUAACAUUUUACUUUGCUUUUUCCUUUUUUUUCUCUUUUUCCCUUUUGUUGUUUUAAUCGAAACAAACUUUACAGUGUUUAGCAAAUAAAAAUUCAAAAUGGUUCUUGAAUCAAGCAUCUUUAAUUGCUACCCUCCUAGCUUGCUUGUACCCAAUUUGGCUCUGGCUUCUGUCGACGGCUUUCUUGCUCUUGUUGCGUUCUAUCAGGUUUGAUUUAAAUACCCUUUUGCUUAUUUUUCAUAAUGGUGUUGUUUUCAUUUUAAAUUUUUUGCCAUUUUUUUUUUUUUCUUUUGACGGGAGGUUGGUAAUAUCGUUGAAUUGAAUUUGAUUUAUGAGGUGAUCCAAUUGUGGUAUAUUUCCUGUGGCUAAUCAAUUGAUGGGAUAUAACCUUUUGUGAUCUUGGGUUGUAUUUGAAUGUGAAAAGAUGGUGUGUAUUGUUUGCAUUUGUCGGUGGGAGCUCUGUUAUGUGUUUGGUUGAUGAGAAAAUGCCGGGAGAAGAUAAAAUGAAUUUGGGAUUUUACAGCCAUUUGGGGUUAAAAACUUGGAACUCUCUGCUUUAGAUUGUUGGAAAUUCAUGCCAGAAAAUGGUUAAUGAAAGAUUGAAUUGUUGAGGGAUUAAUUAAACGUGUCAAUUUGAUAUUAGUGUUGACUGUCUGGUAGAAGUUUUGAGAUAUAUGUUUUUUUUUUAAUUUUUCAUCUUAUUGUGUCUUCCAAGACUGUAAUUGUAGUUGAUACUAUCAUACUACUAUACUAAUUUGUGUUGAAGAAUAUUUAUUGCUAAUAUUCAUUUAACUGAGUUAAUCUCUUGACCCGAGAGCCUCAAAUUAUAAGUCAUCAGUUGUUCUCUCUGCACUUCCUCAUAGUGUGAUUUGUAUAAAUCCUGAAAGAACAUUAUACUUUUGCCAAUGGCUCGUGGAUAUUCUCUAGGUGAUAUUUUGAGACAUCAAAUGUGUAUGCUUGUUUUGCACAGAAGUAUUCUCGUGUGAAGCCCUUUUCCUUGUUAGGUUUAGCUUGAGUCACUGAUGAUUAACUAAUGGUUGCUUGGUAUGUUGAUGACUUUAUACAUGAAAAAGGAUUUUCUUAUUUGAUUCUUUGUUUGGUACUUACAAGUGAGCCAUUUUGUCAUUGCAG
Molecule: long non-coding RNA, 1206 nt
Filed under: Citrus maxima (pomelo)
Lineage: Eukaryota; Viridiplantae; Streptophyta; Magnoliopsida; Sapindales; Rutaceae
Description: long non-coding RNA (CMAX_LNC003124)
Source: RNAcentral